AAGUUAGUAUUUAAAGAAUAAAAUUUAAUUUGCAGUUAAAAAUUGUAGUACCUACCUAGCCU
This 62-nucleotide transfer RNA is filed under the name Opiliones sp. MT-2014. RNAcentral's name for it is "tRNA-Ala". The record is from RNAcentral. Lineage: Eukaryota; Metazoa; Arthropoda; Arachnida; Opiliones.